Molecule: ribosomal RNA, 292 nt
Filed under: uncultured bacterium
Lineage: Bacteria
Description: partial 16S ribosomal RNA
Rfam family: Bacterial small subunit ribosomal RNA
Source: RNAcentral
GUGCCAGCCGCCGCGGUAAUACAGAGGUCCCAAGCGUUGUUCGGAUUCACUGGGCGUAAAGGGUGCGUAGGUGGCCGGGAAAGUUCGAUGUGAAAGCUCGGAGCUUAACUCCGAAAUGGCAUUGAAUACUAUUCGGCUUGAGGGUCGGAGGGGAGACUGGAAUUCUCGGUGUAGCAGUGAAAUGCGUAGAUAUCGAGAGGAACACCAGUGGCGAAGGCGAGUCUCUGGACGACACCUGACACUGAGGCACGAAAGCUAGGGGAGCAAACAGGAUUAGAUACCCUGGUAGUCC